GAUGAACGCUGGCGGCGUGCUUAACACAUGCAAGUCGAACGAAACACCUUAUUUGAUUUUCUUCGGAACUGAAGAUUUGGUGAUUGAGUGGCGGACGGGUGAGUAACGCGUGGGUAACCUGCCCUGUACAGGGUGAUAACAGUCAGAAAUGACUGCUAAUACCGCAUAAGACCACAGCACCGCAUGGUGCAGGGGUAAAAACUCCGGUGGUACAGGAUGGACCCGCGUCUGAUUAGCUGGGUGGUGAGGUAACGGCUCACCAAGGCGACGAUCAGUAGCCGGCUGGAGAGAGUGAACGGGCACAUUGGGACUGAGACACGGCCCAAACUCCUACGGGAGGAAGCAGUGGGGAAUAUUGCACAAUGGGGGAAAACCUGAUGCAGCGACGACGCGUGAGUGAAGAAGUAUUUCGGUAUGUAAAGCUCUAUCAGCAGGGAAGAAAAUGACGGUACCUGACUAAGAAGCCCCGGCUAACUACGUG
This 481-nucleotide ribosomal RNA is filed under the name uncultured bacterium. Its description in RNAcentral is "partial 16S ribosomal RNA". It matches the Rfam family "Bacterial small subunit ribosomal RNA", at positions 28 to 507 of the family's 1533-position model. The record is from RNAcentral.